This is a small nucleolar RNA of Mercurialis annua (annual mercury), 117 nucleotides long. RefSeq annotates it as small nucleolar RNA Z278. NCBI's taxonomy places the organism in Eukaryota, Viridiplantae, Streptophyta, Magnoliopsida, Malpighiales, Euphorbiaceae. The record is from RefSeq and is a predicted model, not a curated record. The transcript has a single exon.
GGUGGUGAUGAGAUAUCCAUGUUUUGAGGUAUAGAAUUUGGUACCAAGUUCCUGCUUAUAGGGAGAACCUACUUAGGAUCACUGCAUUUUUUGUGGAAUUAUUGGAUUAUUUGAGUC